Molecule: transfer RNA, 56 nt
Filed under: Dipodomys ordii (Ord's kangaroo rat)
Lineage: Eukaryota; Metazoa; Chordata; Mammalia; Rodentia; Heteromyidae
Rfam family: tRNA
About the family: Transfer RNA (tRNA) molecules are approximately 80 nucleotides in length. Their secondary structure includes four short double-helical elements and three loops (D, anti-codon, and T loops).
Source: Rfam by way of RNAcentral
GGCUCAGUGGUAGAGCGCUUGCCUUGCAUGCAUGAAGCCCUGGGUUUGAUUCCUAA